This 495-nucleotide ribosomal RNA is filed under the name uncultured bacterium. RNAcentral's name for it is "partial 16S ribosomal RNA". It matches the Rfam family "Bacterial small subunit ribosomal RNA", at positions 28 to 506 of the family's 1533-position model. The record is from RNAcentral.
GAUGAACGCUGGCGGCGUGCCUAAUACAUGCCAGUCGAGCGAACAGAUGAGGAGCUUGCUCCUCUGACGUUAGCGGCGGACGGGUGAGUAACACGUGAUAACCUACCUAUAAGACUGGGAUAACUUCGGGAAACCGGAGCUAAUACCGGAUAAUAUAUUGAACCGCAUGGUUCAAUAGUGAAAGACGGUUUUGCUGUCACUUAUAGAUGGAUCCGCGCCGCAUUAGCUAGUUGGUAAGGUAACGGCUUACCAAGGCAACGAUGCGUAGCCGACCUGAGAGGGUGAUCGGCCACACUGGAACUGAGACACGGUCCAGACUCCUACGGGAGGCAGCAGUAGGGAAUCUUCCGAAAUGGGCGAAAGCCUGACGGAGCAACGCCGCGUGAGUGAUGAAGGUCUUCGGAUCGUAAAACUCUGUUAUUAGGGAAGAACAAAUGUGUAAGUAACUAUGCACGUCUUGACGGUACCUAAUCAGAAAGCCACGGCUAACUACGU